AGGGAAUCUCCAAAGGGAAAUACCAAUGAAUACAUGUACGUCAAUAUCUUCAUCUACGUUGGUAUAGUUGCAGCUCUAUUAAUAUUGUUUCUGUUAUAUCUUGUCUACAUUUACUGCUAUCGAAAAAAUAGGAAUUCGAAACCAAAUACCGCAAGUAAAAAACCCGGAUCUACAAACAUUUAUAUGAAUGAUUUAUACUACAGCCAACGGAGAAGCUCUUAUUACGACAAGGCUAAAUAUUAGAAUGUUUUAUUAAACAAAUUCACAAUGUAAAUGUGAUUAUCUCGUGUCGAAUACUUAUAUGUUUAGGGUGAUUAUAAUUUCAAAACAAUAUGGACUAAUAUUUGUACAUUCAAUUAAAAAGUAGAAAUGUAUCAGAAAGAUGAGAAAAGGAUUUACAAUUCCUAUAUGUGUUAUCACAUGCACAACAGAUAAUGGAAAAAUUCUAUCAAACUGAAUUUUCGAAUCUACAUACAUGUAUUAUUAAUCUGAUAUCAAAGAAAACGUCAUCAUUGUUCACGAGUCGGCAGAGACUGUAAUUAAAACAUUUACUAUCUUUGAAUUUAAUUAUAUACUACAUUUGUUAAAGACUUAAUCGUUAAAUAGCAGAAUAACAACACUUUUUUGUUCCAAAAAUUAUCAACAUUUAACUUUUUCGAUCUAAAAAAAAAUAUUUUUUCAUUUCAUUUUUCUUUAAUUUUUAUAGAAAUUUCAAUAUCAAAUUAUAAAAAGUAUAUUUGUGGAAAUAACGCUUAUGUAUUUCGUUUGAAUAUUUAUUGAAAGUAACUAUAUUGACUUAUAUUUUUUCUAUACUGGUAUUCAUGCGCCUCAUGCGACUAAAUGAUUACUAUAAAUGAUGAAAAACAUUUUGUAGUUUUCCUCCAGCAAAUGUUUGAAUCUAUUCGCUCCAUCAACAUAUACUGAAUAAGAAACAUCGAUCAAUAUUUUUUUAAACCAAAAUAUGACCAGUUAAGUGUUAAGGAAAAAAGUUUAAUGUGUAAAUAAUCAAGUAGCUGCAUUGUUGGCGUCAACCAUUUUAUUAAUCUAGGUUAUUAUCUCUUCUCUCGAUCAAAAGUAGCAACGUUAUUUUAGAUCACAUUGUCUCCAGGUGAGAUCACGUGACUCUUUUUUUUACUUACAACAUACCCAAUACAUAUUUUAGGCAUGUUCUCAUAAUUUCUUAAAUUUUUUGUUUAUUUGUUUGUUGAGAAAUAUUCAUCCAGUGUGAUAAUGAAAAAAAAAUUAAGAGUUAAUCAGUGUAGCAAUUUUUGUAGUUAGAAAAAAAGAUGAAAUGAUCUUUAUUGAAUUUUCAUUGAAUAUAGAGCCUGUAUAUUUUGUCUACACAGCUUGUGUAUUCAGCAGUUCAUCUAUAUUUCAUAUAAACUCAAUGUCAAAACAAAUUGCAUGUUUGAAAGAGGCCAAUCCUUUAAAUAAAUGUGUAUAUAGGGCAUCAAGCUUAUGACGCAAAGCCCAAUCAAACAUUGCCGAUAUGUUUCAAUAGUUUACAUCAAGAAGUCAAUCAAACUGAGCAAAGGAUUAUAAAACUCACAUUAUCUGUCAAUUCACUACAAUUCAUGCUCUUCUACACAUGUUUAUCCUUCUUUAAUUACAAUAUUUCCUUUGGAUUUUUUCUCUGAUAUUUUGUAUUCAAUUGCUUCGAUCGAAGCGUCCCACUGAUCCUACACUCUCUUGAGCAUUAAUGUGCAUAUUUAAACGAAAAACACCCAUGCAAGGAUUUCAGCAAAGAGAUACAAAAUAUUGUAUAAUAUAUAUUCUUGACAUAUUUCUCUUAAGUGCAGCUAUACAAGACUAAUUGGUGAUUGUUGUAAAUGUGAACGACAUCGAUAAAGAUUCCAAUCAUAUAUAUAUAUGUGGACUGACUUCAAUUCGAGCACUAUUUCUAAUCAGCCAUUACCCGUCGUCUGACCUUGUUACUCUUCAGUACAACACUGUGAUGGAAUUUGAACAUCUUAUCCUGCCACUUCUUAUGUUAGCGUUAUAUCAUGAAGAAAGAAGUGUGUGACGAUGACGGCGUUGAUAUUUGAGUGAUCCGUAACACACCUUCCUCUGUGUUCGCUAACAAGAAAACGUUUUAGGAAAAUGAACAGAGACAGCAAUUACGAUGGAACUCGAUAGGGUCUUUUACACGUUAACAAUGGCGGCGAACGUACUUUUAUAUUAUACACGUUUUCAUUUGAAAAAAAAUCGUUUUUAGUGGAAUUAAGGUGACAAAAUAUCAUUUAAUAGACCAUCUCUAUUCACGCAAAUCUACUCUCUGAGGUGAACAGAUAAUGAUAUACUGUGUUUAAACUCAGAAUAUAUAUUGAGGAAUACAUUUAGUUACCUAGGUAACGGGCCUAUAAAAAAUAGCAUUUAAAAAUAUUAAAGCUUGAGAGUUCGAAAAUUUUUCAAUUUACAUCUUCCGGACACGAACGUCAAAUGAAAAGGAAAAAAAUCCUGAGCAAUAAAUAUAUUGUACUGCCAUUGUUGUUAAUGACUUGUAUUGAUUAUCCAGCAAUAAAAAAGUGUACAGUUCAGCAACGUAUGUUUCAAAAAAUAUUUAAUGGCAUCUUACUAUAUCAACACCAAAU
Molecule: long non-coding RNA, 2591 nt
Organism: Magallana angulata
Lineage: Eukaryota; Metazoa; Mollusca; Bivalvia; Ostreida; Ostreidae
Exons: 3
Source: RefSeq, a predicted model, not a curated record